GAUGAACGCUGGCGGCGUGCCUAAUACAUGCAAGUCGAGCGAACAGACGAGGAGCUUGCUCCUCUGACGUUAGCGGCGGACGGGUGAGUAACACGUGGAUAACCUACCUAUAAGACUGGGAUAACUUCGGGAAACCGGAGCUAAUACCGGAUAAUAUAUUGAACCGCAUGGUUCAAUAGUGAAAGACGGUUUUGCUGUCACUUAUAGAUGGAUCCGCGCCGCAUUAGCUAGUUGGUAAGGUAACGGCUUACCAAGGCGACGAUGCGUAGCCGACCUGAGAGGGUGAUCGGCCACAAUGGAACUGAGACACGGUCCAGACUCAUACGGGAGGCAGCAGUAGGGAAUCUUCCGCAAUGGGCGAAAGCCUGACGGAGCAACGCCGCGUGAGUGAUGAAGGUCUUCGGAUCGUAAAACUCUGUUAUUAGGGAAGAACAAAUGUGUAAGUAACUAUGCACGUCUUGACGGUACCUAAUCAGAAAGCCACGGCUAACUACGUG
This 497-nucleotide ribosomal RNA is filed under the name uncultured bacterium. RNAcentral describes it as "partial 16S ribosomal RNA". It matches the Rfam family "Bacterial small subunit ribosomal RNA", at positions 28 to 507 of the family's 1533-position model. The record is from RNAcentral.